RNAcentral lists this ribosomal RNA (472 nucleotides) under uncultured bacterium. Its description in RNAcentral is "SSU rRNA". It matches the Rfam family "Bacterial small subunit ribosomal RNA", at positions 26 to 518 of the family's 1533-position model. The record is from RNAcentral.
AGGACGAACGCUGGCGGCGCGCCUAACGACAUGCAAGUCGAGCGAGAACCAGGGCUUGCCCUGGGGACAGCGGCGAACGGGUGCGUAACACGUGAGCAACCUGCCCCAAAGACCGGGACAACCCGAGGAAACUCGGACUAAUACCGGAUGCCCUCACCGGGCCGCAUGGUCUGGUGAGGAAAUGGAUUCCGCUUUGGGAUGGGCUCGCGGUCUAUCAGCUUGUUGGUGGGGUAACGGCCUACCAAGGCGACGACGGAUAGCUGGUCUGAGAGGACGAUCAGCCACACUGGGACUGAGACACGGCCCAGACUCCUACGGGAGGCAGCAGUGGGGAAUCUUGCGCAAUGGGGGAAACCCUGACGCAGCGACGCCGCGUGCGGGGUGAAGGCCUUCGGGUUGUAACCGCUUUCAGCAGGGACGAAUUGACGGUACCUGCAGAAGAAGGCCCGGCCAACUACGCGCCAGCAGCCGC